CAGCAGCCACGGUAACACGGAGGGUGCAAGCGUUAAUCGGAAUUACUGGGCGUAAAGCGCACGCAGGCGGUCUGUCAAGUCGGAUGUGAAAUCCCCGGGCUCAACCUGGGAACUGCAUUCGAAACUGGCAGGCUAGAGUCUUGUAGAGGGGGGUAGAAUUCCAGGUGUAGCGGUGAAAUGCGUAGAGAUCUGGAGGAAUACCGGUGGCGAAGGCGGCCCCCUGGACAAAGACUGACGCUCAGGUGCGAAAGCGUGGGGAGCAAACAGGAUUAGAUACCCCGGUAGUCCCUGUCUCUUAUAC
This 301-nucleotide ribosomal RNA is filed under the name uncultured bacterium. RNAcentral's name for it is "partial 16S ribosomal RNA". It matches the Rfam family "Bacterial small subunit ribosomal RNA", at positions 509 to 807 of the family's 1533-position model. The record is from RNAcentral.